Molecule: ribosomal RNA, 471 nt
Filed under: uncultured bacterium
Lineage: Bacteria
Description: partial 16S ribosomal RNA
Rfam family: Bacterial small subunit ribosomal RNA
Source: RNAcentral
AGCAAACGCUGGCGGCGUGCCUAAUACAUGCAAGUCGAACGAGGUAGCAAUACCUAGUGGCGCACGGGUGAGUAAUACGUGGGUAAUCUGCCCUCGAGUGGGGAAUAACUAGUCGAAAGAUUAGCUAAUACCGCAUAAGACCACAGGAACUUUGGUUCUAGAGGUCAAAGCAGCAAUGCGCUUGAGGAUGAGCCCGCGUCAGAUUAGCUAGUUGGUAGGGUAAUGGCCUACCAAGGCAAUGAUCUGUAGCUGGUCUGAGAGGAUGAUCAGCCACACUGGAACUGAGACACGGUCCAGACUCCUACGGGAGGCAGCAGUAGGGAAUAUUGCGCAAUGGGGGAAACCCUGACGCAGCGACGCCGCGUGAGUGAUGAAGGCCUUCGGGUCGUAAAGCUCUGUUGCAGGGGAAUAACACAAUGAAGGUACCCUGUGAGGAAGGAUCGGCUAACUUCGUGCCAGCCGCCGCCGUAA